RNAcentral lists this ribosomal RNA (404 nucleotides) under uncultured bacterium. RNAcentral describes it as "bacterial SSU rRNA". It matches the Rfam family "Bacterial small subunit ribosomal RNA", at positions 976 to 1380 of the family's 1533-position model. The record is from RNAcentral.
CGGGAUUGAAAUGUAGAUGACCGCUCCUGAAAGGGAGUUUUCCUUCGGGACAUCUAUGUAGGUGCUGCAUGGUUGUCGUCAGCUCGUGCCGUGAGGUGUCGGCUUAAGUGCCAUAACGAGCGCAACCCCUGUCUACGGUUGCCAUCAGGUAAUGCUGGGAACUCCGUAGAGACUGCCGUCGUAAGGCGUGAGGAAGGUGGGGAUGACGUCAAAUCAGCACGGCCCUUACAUCCGGGGCGACACACGUGUUACAAUGGUAAGGACAAAGGGCAGCUACCUGGCGACAGGAUGCGAAUCUCUAAACCUUAUCACAGUUCGGAUCGGAGUCUGCAACUCGACUCCGUGAAGCUGGAUUCGCUAGUAAUCGCGCAUCAGCCAUGGCGCGGUGAAUACGUUCCCGGGCC